This 402-nucleotide ribosomal RNA is filed under the name uncultured bacterium. RNAcentral's name for it is "bacterial SSU rRNA". It matches the Rfam family "Bacterial small subunit ribosomal RNA", at positions 358 to 775 of the family's 1533-position model. The record is from RNAcentral.
GGAAUAUUGGGCAAUGGAGGAAACUCUGACCCAGCAACGCCGCGUGAAUGAUGAAGGUCUUCGGAUUGUAAAGUUCUUUUCUAAGGGAAGAAGAAAGUGACGGUACCUUAGGAAUAAGCAUCGGCUACCUCCGUGCCAGCAGCCGCGGUAAUACGGAGGAUGCGAGCGUUAUCCGGAUUUAUUGGGUUUAAAGGGUGCGUAGGCGGUUACUUAAGUCAGCGGUCAAAUGGCGGGGCUCAACCCCGUCCAGCCGUUGAAACUGGGUAGCUUGAGGCGGCGAGAAGUACGCGGAAUGCGCGGUGUAGCGGUGAAAUGCAUAGAUAUCGCGCAGAACUCCGAUUGCGAAGGCAGCGUACCGGCGCCGCACUGACGCUGAGGCACGAAAGCGUGGGUAUCGAACAG